GCGAGUGUGGCAGGGCAAGGGUUGCUCCUGCCUUCCAAGCAGGUUGUCGCGCGUUCAAAUCGCGUCGCCCGCU
Molecule: transfer RNA, 73 nt
Filed under: Chloroflexota bacterium
Lineage: Bacteria; Bacillati; Chloroflexota
Also listed under: 1 other name
Description: Chloroflexi bacterium (anaerobic digester metagenome) tRNA-Gly
Rfam family: tRNA
About the family: Transfer RNA (tRNA) molecules are approximately 80 nucleotides in length. Their secondary structure includes four short double-helical elements and three loops (D, anti-codon, and T loops).
Source: RNAcentral